GUGGGGAAUAUUGGGCAAUGGGCGGAAGCCUGACCCAGCGACGCCGCGUGGGGGAAGAAGUCUUUCGGGAUGUAAACCCUUGUUGUACGGGACGAAGGAAGUGACGGUACCGUACGAGGAAGCCCCGGCAAACUACGUGCCAGCAGCCGCGGUCAUACGUAGGGGGCGAGCGUUGUCCGGAAUCACUGGGCGUAAAGCGCACGUAGGCGGGCUGUCAAGUCGGCCGUGAAAGGGACGGGCUCAACCUGUGCAGUUCGGUCGGUACUGGCGGUCUGGAGUGUGGGAGAGGGAACUGGAAUUCCCGGUGUAGCGGUGAAAUGCGUAGAUAUGCGGAGGAACACCGAUGGCGAAGGCAAUCCCCUGGACCUGUACUGACGCUCAUGCACGAAAGCGUGGGGAGCAAACAGGAUUAGAAACCCGUGUAGUCC
Molecule: ribosomal RNA, 428 nt
Filed under: uncultured bacterium
Lineage: Bacteria
Description: partial 16S ribosomal RNA
Rfam family: Bacterial small subunit ribosomal RNA
Source: RNAcentral